GACGAACGCUGUCGGCGUGCUUAACACAUGCAAGUCGAACGGAAAGGCCCUGCUUUUGGGGGGUGCUCGAGUGGCGAACGGGUGAGUAACACGUGAGUAACCUGCCCUUGACUUUGGGAUAACUUCAGGAAACUGGGGCUAAUACCGGUUAGGAGCUCCUGCUGCAUGGUGGGGGUUGGAAAGUUUCGGCGGUUGGGGAUGGACUCGCGGCUUAUCAGCUUGUUGGUGGGGUAGUGGCUUACCAAGGCUUUGACGGGUAGCCGGCCUGAGAGGGUGACCGGCCACAUUGGGACUGAGAUACGGCACAGACUCCUACGGGAGGCAGCAGUGGGGAAUAUUGCACAAUGGGCGGAAGCCUGAUGCAGCAUCGCCGCGUGCGGGAUGACGGCCUUCGGGUUGUAAACCGCUUUCGCCUGUGACGAAGCGUGAGUGACGGUAAUGGGUAAAGAAGCACCGGCUAACUACGUG
RNAcentral lists this ribosomal RNA (468 nucleotides) under uncultured bacterium. RNAcentral describes it as "partial 16S ribosomal RNA". It matches the Rfam family "Bacterial small subunit ribosomal RNA", at positions 28 to 507 of the family's 1533-position model. The record is from RNAcentral.